This is a long non-coding RNA of Aethalodelphis obliquidens (Pacific white-sided dolphin), 179 nucleotides long. RefSeq lists it as uncharacterized. The transcript is spliced from 2 exons. Lineage: Eukaryota; Metazoa; Chordata; Mammalia; Artiodactyla; Delphinidae. The record is from RefSeq and is a predicted model, not a curated record.
UCCCUGGUGGUGCAGUGGUUAAGACUCUGCACUCCCAAUGCAGGGGCCCAGGUUCAAUCCCUGGUCAGGGAACUGGAUCCUACAUGCAUGUCGCAACCAAGAGUUCACACGCCGCAACUAAGGAGCCCAUGAGCUGCACUAAGACCCGGUGCAACCAAAUAAAUUAAAUAAAUAUUUUU